Molecule: ribosomal RNA, 468 nt
Filed under: Triticum aestivum (bread wheat)
Lineage: Eukaryota; Viridiplantae; Streptophyta; Magnoliopsida; Poales; Poaceae
Description: partial small subunit ribosomal RNA
Source: RNAcentral
AUGGUUAAGUUGGGAGAUGAAAACACCAAAUUCUUUCAGGCCAAAGCUACAAUCAAAUACAGGAAGAAUCAUAUUAGUACCCUGCAAGAUGAAUCUGGACAGGAAGCAAUAGAACAUCAAGCAAAGGCAGCAAUUCUAUGGAGAGCUUUUAAGGAUAGAUUAAGCACAACCACUCCAACUUUUGAACCUUUUCCUUUGAACAGUCUGCUGCAUAAACAUGGAAAUCUAAAGGAGUUGGAAAGACCUUUUACAAAAGAAGAAAUAGAUGUUGUGGUAGCACAACUACCUUCUGAUAAGGCACCUGGGCCAGAUGGUUUUAAUGGGGCUUUCAUUAAGUCCUGCUGGAAUAUCAUUGCCGAAGACUUUUAUGACCCGGUCAAGGAUUUCUAUGAGGGAAAUGUCAAUCUGCAGAGUAUCAACUCCUCAUAUAUCACUCUCAUUCCCAAAAAAGAUAAUCCCAUGCUCCCA